Molecule: ribosomal RNA, 253 nt
Filed under: uncultured bacterium
Lineage: Bacteria
Description: partial 16S ribosomal RNA
Rfam family: Bacterial small subunit ribosomal RNA
Source: RNAcentral
UACGGAGGGUGCAAGCGUUAUCCGGAUUCACUGGGUUUAAAGGGAGCGUAGGUGGCUUUGUAAGUCAGUGGUGAAAUGCCGCAGCUCAACUGCGGAACUGCCAUUGAUACUGCUUAGCUUGAAUCACGUCGAGGUGGAUGGAAUAAUACAUGUAGCGGUGAAAUGCUUAGAUAUGUAUUAGAACACCGAUUGCGAAGGCAGUUCACUAGGCGUGUAUUGACACUGAGGCUCGAAAGCGUGGGGAUCAAACAGG